GAUGAACGCUGGCGGCAUGCCUAAGACAUGCAAGUCGAACGAGAUGGCCCAGUGAAGGUUGCGUGCUUGCACAAGACUGAAUCUGGAUCACCAUCUAGUGGCAGACGGGUGAGUAACACGUGGGUGACCUACCUUUUCGUUGGGGAUAACAGUUGGAAACGAUUGCUAAUACCGAAUAAAAUAUAAGAGCCAAUUUUAUAUUGAAAGGAGCCUUUAAAGCUUCGCGAUUAGAUGGGCCUGCGGCGUAUUAACUUGUUGGUGAGGUAACGGCUCACCAAGGUAACGAUGCGUAGCCGAACUGAGAGGUUGAUCGGCCACACUGGGACUGAGACACGGCCCAGACUCCUACGGGAGACAGCAGUUAGGAAUAUUCGUCAAUGGGGGAAACCCUGAACGAGCAAUGCCGCGUGAGUGAUGACGGUCCUUUGGAUUGUAAGACUCUGUUGUAUGGAAAAAAAUGACUAGGUUAGGAAAUGAACCUAGUGUGAUGGUACCAUACCAGAAAGC
RNAcentral lists this ribosomal RNA (507 nucleotides) under uncultured bacterium. RNAcentral describes it as "bacterial SSU rRNA". It matches the Rfam family "Bacterial small subunit ribosomal RNA", at positions 28 to 491 of the family's 1533-position model. The record is from RNAcentral.